Monodelphis domestica (gray short-tailed opossum) is the source of this 2954-nucleotide non-coding RNA. Lineage: Eukaryota; Metazoa; Chordata; Mammalia; Didelphimorphia; Didelphidae. The record is from RefSeq and is a predicted model, not a curated record.
AGGGCUCAGGCUGCCAAGGACUGAGUUCCCCCAAAACUCAAGGAAGGAGGGAAAGGUGUAGUAAGAGAAGGGAACCCCUUCCCCAUUUUCCUCACCCAUUCUUUCCCUGCCAGCCAUUUUCUUUGUGUUACCCUAGUUGACUUAAUUUAUAUUAAAGUGGUUAUCCUUUCCCAAAUUUGACUCAAGUGUGAGUGGGACAGCUUGAAGGGAAGAGACGUUGUCCUGAGAAAAAACCUUUAGGGCCUAAAGAGUGGAGGGGGACAAGAGUUAAUCUGUGAGAGCAACCAUAUUUGAGAAGGGAGGUUGAAGGGGGAAAUUAAUUAAAACCCACUCUUCUCUCUCUGAGCCAACCUUAAACUAUCAGCUGUCUCUCCUGGAUCCUGUUUUCUCUUUAUCACCCAUGAACCCCUCCAUUACACCCAAAACUGAAGGUCUAUUUAUUAAAUGUCUCAUAUUCUGGGUAUUGUGCUAGGUACUAGAAACAGAAAGACAAAAAUGAAAUGAUCUGUGCCUUAAAAGAAUUGAAAACCUACUGUUCAUUUAUAACAUAGGAUCAUAGUGUAUCAUAGACAGGAGGGAUAUAUUUAAUAUGAAGGAUGGAUUUAGGACUAGAUAAUUUCUCUUAUCUUUAUAACCUCUCAAGCCUCUCUAAGACAAGAAGAACCCUAAUGAAGUAACAUGAUGAAUUAACAGUAUAGAAAGCUAAUCUCUAAUCCCUAGCAAUCUCAAUCAGCAUUUCCUCCUUAUUUAGCUACCAUGCUUGGGCAGGGCUGUUGUACAACAGAACUUAGCUUCUUCUUCUACUCCAUCUUUCUGCCUUGGAAAACCAAAAGGCUAGGACUGCAGUAUAGCAUUGUGUUGUUUUGAAAAAAUGCUUAGCCAGGGAACUGAGGAACAAAGGUAACUGGACAGGAUGCCAGCCCAAGUAUGGAUCCAUCAGGGUUGUGUCAAAGGUGAUCUGAACCCUCCAGAAGUCACUUGGGAAAGAAACUGAGGCUGUCAAAAUGCAAAUUACCCUAUGUAGAAGGAGGCUUAGACAACUUUGAGGCCUGACCCUAGGACAACUGCCAUCACAGGGGAAGGAGCCAGACAGUGAAUGAUAGGUAUAUAAGGGGGGAGGGGGAAUAACAAAAAUGCCAAAGAUUUUAGAAGAAAGAAAACUCAGUUAAAAAAUUUGAGCAGAAGCCACAAGCCAAUUAACCAAUAAGGAAGACAUUAUUAACAAAAGAGAAGAUAGGCACUAGAUUACCCAAAUAAGUCUAGACAUCUAUAAAUAAAUACAAUAAAAUGAAGGUAAUUGAACUGGUAUCUGAUGAAACAGAGGACUCUUGGAAUCCUCUAGUGAGCAUGAAAUCACAGCAGAAUAGUAUCCCAGAAAGGAUUAAAAGAGAAAUAAGAAUUGUGAAAGCAGAAUUUAUGGUAAGAGUACCAGAAUUAAUUGUCAGAAUAGAAAAACUUGAAUAUAUAGAGGCUUAAACAUCUCCAAAGAGAGAAAGAGAGAAAGUGGAUUGGAAAUGCAAAUGCAGAGAAGUGAAAGACAAUCUGAAAGAAGAGAAGUGAAAAGAAAUAACUUUAAAAGAAAACAUAGUCUCUAUAGAAGUGAAACAUUUAUUUCAAAGACAGGCUACAUAGAGACAAUUUAAGUAUUAUAGGUCUCUCAAAAGAACAUAACAAGCCAAAAACUUUGAACAUCAUGGACACAAGAAAACUGCCCAGAAAUCCUGAACACAGAAAACAAAAUACCAAUCAAAAGAAUCUAUCGAUUGCCUAUAUGGGGAAAAAAUACAGUACUUCAAACUCCAAGAAAACUAGUGAUUAAAUUUAAUGAUUCCAAUGACAAGUGUCAAAUUCUGAAAGUCUGCAGGACAAACAGCUAAAAGGGACCUUCGAGGCCAUCAGCUCCAACUUCUUUGCUCUACAGGUAAGUCUAGCCCCUUUUAGACCUUUCCCUUUUCAGAAUGUAAGGAUAGUUUAUAAAGAAUGUGAAACUAUGAGUGGCCUAUGUGUGUAGUGGGAUAGUUAACAAGGAACCAAAGUUAGAGGCCAUUGAUUUGUCUCUGGGGUGUUAGAUCACCUUGGUUCUUUUUCUCAUCUACUUCUUUACGUGAUUAAAUGAGAGGGACUUUGAAUUUGGAAACUAGGGAACUCCAGACCCCUAAAUUAUUUGGUGAUUUUUGAGCAAAUGGUUAUUACUUGGUUUAUGACCUAGUUCAAAAAGAUGGGAAGUAUAUUGGGUAGUCACCAUAUGCUAGGGUGAGAUCUCUGACCAAGGGGACCCAGACUUGUGAUAGGAAGAGUUGUUGAAAGGAAAGACUGAGGCUAAGGCAUUAGCUUGAGUUCUUAAUGAGAUAGCAGACUUCUUUCUCAGGGAGUAGAACUAGGGAAUCAUCUGCUAGUUCUAGAAUAAGAGUUCCUAUUCUUUCUGGAACAGCACAAAAGUUCUCUAGGUAAGGAUUUCAGCUGAUUCAGAAAUUAGAAGUUACUAAAAUCAAGCAAUAUCCAAAGGAAUAACUUUCAAUGAAUACUAUGAAGCCAAGAAGUAGUCUUCAGAAAGCUCUUUCCAAGGGGCAGCAGUGAGUAUAGAGGACUGCCACACUGCACAGAAAAGGAGGACCCACAGAAAAAGGGCUGUGGAUCAAGGAACAUCAUGAUUUCUGUGGAAUCAGAAUUACAGAUGACCCAAAGGGCAAUGAAAAACUUUCAUGGCAGAAGUGAAUUCUGUUGUACUGUCAGCAAAGAUGGAUUACAUCAAAAGAAGGAUAUAAGACAUAUCACUAGAAGUGGCUGGUAGAAGUGAGAGAUAACAGAUGGACACAAAUGAAAAAAUAGGGAAAUCCUUAAUAAAGGAGAACUGCUGCUUGGCAUCCUAACUAACAUGUCACUUCCAUCUUAAAGAUUUCAUUCUGACACCAAUCUGAUACCAUGCAGACCUCAUGUUCUAUGUCAGGAUUUUG